RNAcentral lists this ribosomal RNA (522 nucleotides) under uncultured Glomus. RNAcentral describes it as "SSU rRNA". It matches the Rfam family "Eukaryotic small subunit ribosomal RNA", at positions 569 to 1092 of the family's 1831-position model. Lineage: Eukaryota; Fungi; Glomeromycota; Glomeromycetes; Glomerales; Glomeraceae. The record is from RNAcentral.
AGCAGCCGCGGUAAUUCCAGCUCCAAUAGCGUAUAUUAAAGUUGUUGCAGUUAAAAAGCUCGUAGUUGAAUUUCGGGGUCAGUAGGUUGGUCGUGCCACUGGUAUGCACUGGCCUCACUGAUUCCUCCCUCUUGUAGAACCGUAAUGCCAUUAAGUUGGUGUUGCGGGGAAACAGGACUGUUACUUUGAAAAAAUUAGAGUGUUUAAAGCAGGCUAACGCUUGAAUACACUAGCAUGGAAUAAUGAAAUAGGACGAUCGAUCCUAUUUCGUUGGUUUCUAGGAUUGACGUAAUGAUUAAUAGGGAUAGUUGGGGGCAUUAGUAUUCAAUUGUCAGAGGUGAAAUUCUUGGAUUUAUUGAAGACUAACUACUGCGAAAGCAUUUGCCAAGGAUGUUUUCAUUAAUCAAGAACGAAAGUUAGGGGAUCGAAGACGAUCAGAUACCGUCGUAGUCUUAACCAUAAACUAUGCCGACUAGGGAUCGGAUGAUGUUAAUUUUUUAAUGACUCAUUCGGCGCCUUACG